GGCCUCAUCGUCUAAUGGUUAGGACGUCGCCUUCUCACGGCGGAAAUAGGGGUUCGAUUCCCCUUGAGGCUACCA
RNAcentral lists this transfer RNA (75 nucleotides) under bacterium. RNAcentral describes it as "tRNA-Glu". It matches the Rfam family "tRNA". From Rfam's summary of the family: Transfer RNA (tRNA) molecules are approximately 80 nucleotides in length. Their secondary structure includes four short double-helical elements and three loops (D, anti-codon, and T loops). Further hydrogen bonds mediate the characteristic L-shaped molecular structure. tRNAs have two regions of fundamental functional importance: the anti-codon, which is responsible for specific mRNA codon recognition, and the 3' end, to which the tRNAs corresponding amino acid is attached (by aminoacyl-tRNA synthetases). tRNAs cope with the degeneracy of the genetic code in two manners: having more than one tRNA (with a specific anti-codon) for a particular amino acid; and 'wobble' base-pairing, i.e. permitting non-standard base-pairing at the 3rd anti-codon position. The record is from RNAcentral.